Ostrinia nubilalis (European corn borer) is the source of this 1026-nucleotide long non-coding RNA. RefSeq lists it as uncharacterized. The record is from RefSeq and is a predicted model, not a curated record. The transcript has 2 exons. NCBI's taxonomy places the organism in Eukaryota, Metazoa, Arthropoda, Insecta, Lepidoptera, Crambidae.
GCGCCGCCCGCGCCGGACCAGCUGUACAAGAUUCGUCGAGACGGCUCCGUCAGGGAGCAGCAUAGUGAAAAAGUGAAGUGUACGGUGUGUGGUUAUGCGAACCACAAAGCGGAAUCGUGUCGUUUUGCCAACUAUACCUGUAGGAAGUGCAAUAAAAAAGGUCAUUUGCGUCGCGUGUGCAAAAAUGUUAAUUAUGUUGCUACAAAUCCGAGUGAGGUAAAUGAGGGCGGCGAAGACGACGACGUGUUUACAAACUGAAGCGCACGGUGGAAAGAACACUAAGUUUCUGCCUGAUCAAUCAGUGUUAUACAAAAAAUAUCUUAACAAUAAUAAGUUUAUCUGGUCGAAAGGUAUAGUUAUUAAGGAAAUUGUAACUAUGUUAUAUUUAAUUAAGGAUUGUUUUACAUCUGUUCUGGUUCGUAAACAUAAAAAUCAAUUGUUACAUUAUAAGGGGCCGCCAAUAAACUGUAGCAAUAAUAAUUGUAGUAAACCGCACAAUCGAUACCCAUCAUGAGGCAACAGUGUUUGAUGACAUCACAAUAUCGGGGCCACCGAGUGACUCAUUGUCAUCUACACAAUCGCAGUUUACAAAUGAGUCUCUCACUGAAGGGAGAGGAGGGAACGAGAUGCCGCCACCUGCAUCUGUUGAUGGCGUCGCAACGCCACCACCUGCAUCCGUUGACGACGUCACAACGCCGCGCGAUUCUCCUUCAUGGUGUGGCGUAACGAUGUCAAGAGGAGUGCGACGACCGCCAUCUGAAGGUGACGAUGAGUUCUACGAUGUUGAUGAAAGUCCAGAUGAGAGAAUUGCAGAGACUACAAAUAUCGGAAGAUCUAGACGUAAUCGUCCCCCGGUCGAUUAUAAAAGGUUCUUCUAAAUAGGUACCUUCCUGUAGCUAUUGGGGGAGGAAUGUUGCAUAUUGGAUCGCAGGCCGCCUUUAUACAUGUAUGUAUAGCUAUAGAUAUACGAUGCGUGGCUGCGCCCGCGUUCUAACGUCUCAAUAAUAAAUCAGUGCGUUGACAGCA